This 467-nucleotide ribosomal RNA is filed under the name uncultured bacterium. RNAcentral's name for it is "partial 16S ribosomal RNA". It matches the Rfam family "Bacterial small subunit ribosomal RNA", at positions 28 to 507 of the family's 1533-position model. The record is from RNAcentral.
GACGAACGCUGGCGGCGUGCUUAACACAUGCAAGUCGAACGGAAAGGCCCUGCUUUUGUGGGGUGCUCGAGUGGCGAACGGGUGAGUAACACGUGAGUAACCUGCCCUUGACUUUGGGAUAACUUCAGGAAACUGGGGCUAAUACCGGAUAGGAGCUCCUGCUGCAUGUUGGGGGUUGGAAAAUUUCGGCGGUUGGGAAUGGACUCGCGGCUUAUCCGCUUGUUGGGGGGGUAGUGGCUUACCAGGGCUUUGACGGGUGGCCGGCCUGAGAGGGUGACCGGCAAAAUGGGGAUGGGGUACGGGCCAGAAUGCUACGGGAGGCAGCAGUGGGGAAUAUUGCACAAUGGGCGGAAGCCUGAUGCAGCAACGCCGCGUGCGGGAUGACGGCCUUCGGGUUGUAAACCGCUUUCGCCUGUGACGAAGCGUGAGUGACGGUAAUGGGUAAAGAAGCACCGGCUAACUACGUG